Molecule: ribosomal RNA, 463 nt
Filed under: uncultured bacterium
Lineage: Bacteria
Description: bacterial SSU rRNA
Rfam family: Bacterial small subunit ribosomal RNA
Source: RNAcentral
CCAGACUCCUACGGGAGGCAGCAGUGAGGAAUAUUGGUCAAUGGCCGCAGAGCUGAACCAGCCAAGUCGCGUGAGGGAAGACGGUCCUAUGGAUUGUAAACCUCUUUUGCCGGGGAGCAAAAAGCGGUACGUGUACCGCAUCGAGAGUACCCGGAGAAAAAGCAUCGGCUAACUCCGUGCCAGCAGCCGCGGUAAUACGGAGGAUGCGAGCGUUAUCCGGAUUUAUUGGGUUUAAAGGGUGCGUAGGCGGGACGGUAAUUCAGGGGUAAAAUUGAGGGGCACAACCUCUUCGAGCCGUUGAAACUGGUUUUCUUGAGUGAGCGAGAAGUAUGCGGAAUGCGUGGUGUAGCGGUGAAAUGCAUAGAUAUCACGCAGAACUCCGAUUGCGAAGGCAGCAUACCGGCGCUCAACUGACGCUCAUGCACGAAAGUGUGGGUAUCGAACAGGAUUAGAUACCCCUGUA